Molecule: transfer RNA, 85 nt
Filed under: Spirochaetota bacterium
Lineage: Bacteria; Pseudomonadati; Spirochaetota
Description: Spirochaetes bacterium tRNA-Leu
Rfam family: tRNA
About the family: Transfer RNA (tRNA) molecules are approximately 80 nucleotides in length. Their secondary structure includes four short double-helical elements and three loops (D, anti-codon, and T loops).
Source: RNAcentral
GCCCGGGUGGUGGAAUUGGUAGACACGCUAGCUUGAGGGGCUAGUGCCCGUAUUGGGUGUGCGAGUUCAAAUCUCGCCUCGGGCA